This is a long non-coding RNA of Sinocyclocheilus rhinocerous, 890 nucleotides long. RefSeq lists it as uncharacterized. Lineage: Eukaryota; Metazoa; Chordata; Actinopteri; Cypriniformes; Cyprinidae. The record is from RefSeq and is a predicted model, not a curated record. The transcript is spliced from 2 exons.
UUAAGCAUAUUUAUUGUAAAAAAAAAUACAUAUAAAAACUAAUUUUCAGACAUACAAAAGAUUUAUAGGCAUUGGAAACAGCAUCAUGGACAAACAAAAGACAAAGCCAUUUUGAAAUGUGAUACAUAUUUACACUUUAAUAAAUAAAUACUCAAUUGUUCUUUAGCAGAAUGAAGGCAGAUUGUCUGUGUUUGGGGAUGUGAAUAUAUGCAAAUCAUAUUGACCCAAAGAACAUUCCCAACUCAUUCAUAUUUGACCGACAACUGUCAAAACACAGGAUCAAGCGGGUCAAGACCCUUAGCACUGAGUAAUUACAGAACUUGCUAUGGUAUUUAUACUGUGUAUAUAUAAUAAUAUUUCGAGAAAAAAACAAAACAAAACAAAGCAAACACCACCUUUGGAGUUAGCUAAGCCCCAGGUUAGUAUAGUAAAUAUUGAUAUUGAGGUAUGGCACCACAUAUGUUAAAGGGCAAAAGCUAACUUAGAGAGCUUAAAAGAUUGUCAAAAUACUCUGACAAUACCUCCCUCCACUCCACAAUGCACUACACCGACACAAAACAUACAUGUAACUGUAAAAAUGACUUUUGCCUUUGACUCACACAGACACAUUUCACAUUUUCAGGCAUUUCUCAUGUUUUCAAUUGGAAAGAACCGUCAGACUGUCCUGUAAAGGAAACACAUUGCAAUACUUUCAAAGUUAACCUCUCAGCUGAGAAAAGCAAAGUCUUACCACUCAAAAUAUGAAUCCUCGAGCGAAGGCAAAAAAGUAACAGACCAAAUGACCUCUACAAGACACAAUAGAAUAAUGAAAAUAACACCCACAAUCAGGAAACCCCAUAAACCUCAAAACAUGAAAAAGUAUUUACCCUGUGGAGGGCUGUCUAAAAAAA